GCAGGUUCAGGAGGGGACACAGGUGUUGGCUCCUGGGACCCGAGUCCUCAGCUGCUCAGGAAGCAGCCGCGCUUGUGCCACUUCUGGUCUCGGAUGCGGCGCACUGACUGCAGCUGCGGCUGGUUGGCGUCCCAUUCAUUCCAGUGGCGAAAUUCGCCCCGCUCAAACACGUACUGGCGCCCGCGAUAGCCCGGGAACUCGUAGCCCACCCACCUGCCGAGAAUAACAGAGUAAGAUGAAUUCUCAGUCACGCAGUUAGGUUCUUCCUGGGACUGGCUACAGUGCCCACCAUCUGCCAUCAUUCAGAAGUCCUGCAGCUUGUGGACUGGUAAGGCAGCUGUCAGAAUGUUGCAGACGGGAUGCGCACCUUGCGAGUCCUUCCCCAUUGCGAUGCACAUAUCUCAGCAGGACGUGGGUAUUGAGAAAGAGUAGGUCCAGUAUGUGAGUGGCCAGGGCACGGACAACUCCAACCAAGGUCUGUAAUGCUUGAGACUGGGCGAAAAGGCCACCCACCCCACGGAGAUCAGAGCAACCCAGAGGUGGACGAGGGCGAACGUUACAAGCUUUCAUAGGCUUGGACAGCGAUCAGGCAGCCUGAGGACUCCAUAGCCACAGGGGCAUCGCUGACCCAUGAAGAGAGCAGAGCUCACACCAAUCUGAGCAUGAGACUCCUACAUAAACUCAGCCCUACCUACCCAUCUGUGCCACCCCCAACACACACCUUCAGCCAAGCCCACUGUGAUGAGCUCCCCCCACUGGAUGUGCCUCUACUGAGCAUGUGUAGAUGUGUCAACAUCGCCCAGCUAACAGCAGAAUUGACAAGAAAGCAGGUAUGCUGUCCUGGAGGUCAGAAGCCAUCCAGGUGACUUAAAGGGCUGCCAGGAGGGCUCAGUGGGCUUGCUGUGCAAGCCUAGAGACCUGAGUUCAAUCCCUGGGAGCCACUCGCCAGUGGGAGGAGAGAAUUCACUACAGAAUUGCCCUCUGUUUCUGCAUUGUGGACAUGUGCCCUUACACACCACAUACUUAUACAACGAAUAAAUGCAGUUUAGAGAAGA
This is a long non-coding RNA of Mastomys coucha (southern multimammate mouse), 1055 nucleotides long. RefSeq lists it as uncharacterized. The transcript is spliced from 4 exons. The record is from RefSeq and is a predicted model, not a curated record. NCBI's taxonomy places the organism in Eukaryota, Metazoa, Chordata, Mammalia, Rodentia, Muridae.